Molecule: long non-coding RNA, 231 nt
Filed under: Mytilus galloprovincialis (Mediterranean mussel)
Lineage: Eukaryota; Metazoa; Mollusca; Bivalvia; Mytilida; Mytilidae
Source: RNAcentral
GGGGUAUAGAUAUGAUACUUGAUAUGUCAGUACAUAAAAUGUCCAUAAUAACAUUCAGUUGUUCAUUAUUUAUAAUUCUCUGAUACACCAUACUCACCAGGGUUGUGAUUAUUGACGACUAAUUUUGCAUUUUAUGCAUUCCAUAUCAUUGUGACAAUUCAUCGAUCUUUAUGGUAAAUAUCUUUUUAAAAUUAUGUUAUGCUCUGUUCGGAAUAUGAUAUGAUAACGAUG